CCUACGGGACGCACCAGUGGGGAAUAUUGCACAAUGGGCGCAAGCCUGAUGCAGCCAUGCCGCGUGUAUGAAGAAGGCCUUAGGGUUGUAAAGUACUUUCAGUUGGGAGGAAGGCGUUGAUGCUAAUAUCAUCAAUGAUUGACGUUACCAACAGAAGAAGCACCGGCUAACUCCGUGCCAGCAGCCGCGGUAAUACGGAGGGUGCAAGCGUUAAUCGGAAUUACUGGGCGUAAAGCGCACGCAGGCGGUUGAUAAAGUUAGAUGUGAAAUCCCCGGGCUUAGCCUGGGAAUGGCAUCUAAGACUGGUCAGCUAGAGUCUUGUAGAGGGGGGGUAGAAUUCCAUGUGUAGCGGUGAAAUGCGUAGAGAUGUGGAGGAAUACCGGUGGCGAAGGCGGCCCCCUGGACAAAGACUGACGCUUAGGUGCGAAAGCGUGGGGAGCAAACAGGAUUAGAUACCCCUGUAGUC
This 466-nucleotide ribosomal RNA is filed under the name uncultured bacterium. Its description in RNAcentral is "bacterial SSU rRNA". It matches the Rfam family "Bacterial small subunit ribosomal RNA", at positions 338 to 795 of the family's 1533-position model. The record is from RNAcentral.